UACGUAGGGUGCGAGCGUUGUCCGGAAUUAUUGGGCGUAAAGAGCGUGUAGGCGGCCUGGAAGGUCAGCUGUGAAAACUCGAGGCUCAACCUCGAGACGUCGGUUGAAACCACCUGGCUAGAGUCCGGAAGAGGAGUGUGGAAUUCCCGGUGUAGCGGUGGAAUGCGCAGAUAUCGGGAGGAACACCAGCGGCGAAGGCGGCGACCUGGACAGGUACUGACACUCAACUACGAAAGCGUGGGGAGCAAACAGG
Molecule: ribosomal RNA, 253 nt
Filed under: uncultured bacterium
Lineage: Bacteria
Description: partial 16S ribosomal RNA
Rfam family: Bacterial small subunit ribosomal RNA
Source: RNAcentral